Molecule: non-coding RNA, 88 nt
Organism: Terfezia boudieri ATCC MYA-4762
Lineage: Eukaryota; Fungi; Ascomycota; Pezizomycetes; Pezizales; Pezizaceae
Source: the annotation of a GenBank genome assembly
GUCUCCGUAGCUCAGUGGUAGUAGCGAGAGAUUGCAGUUGUACAUGCCAACCAUCUCUAGGUCAGGCGUUCGAACCGCCUCGGGGACU